This 497-nucleotide ribosomal RNA is filed under the name uncultured bacterium. RNAcentral describes it as "partial 16S ribosomal RNA". It matches the Rfam family "Bacterial small subunit ribosomal RNA", at positions 28 to 507 of the family's 1533-position model. The record is from RNAcentral.
GAUGAACGCUGGCGGCGUGCCUAAUACAUGCAAGUCGAGCGAACGGACGAGAAGCUUGCUUCUCUGAUGUUAGCGGCGGACGGGUGAGUAACACGUGGAUAACCUACCUAUAAGACUGGGAUAACUUCGGGAAACCGGAGUUAAUACCGGAUGAUAUUUUGAACCGCAUGGUUCAAAAGUGAAAGACGGUCUUGCUGUCACUUAUAGAUGGAUCCGCGCUGCAUUAGCUAGUUGGUAAGGUAACGGCUUACCAAGGCAACGAUGCAUAGCCGACCUGAGAGGGUGAUCGGCCACACUGGAACUGAGACACGGUCCAGACUCCUACGGGAGGCAGCAGUAGGGAAUCUUCCGCAAUGGGCGAAAGCCUGACGGAGCAACGCCGCGUGAGUGAUGAAGGUCUUCGGAUCGUAAAACCCUGUUAUUAGGGAAGAACAUAUGUGUAAGUAACUGUGCACAUCUUGACGGUACCUAAUCAGAAAGCCACGGCUAACUACGUG